This 9937-nucleotide long non-coding RNA is filed under the name Sorghum bicolor (sorghum). RNAcentral describes it as "long non-coding RNA (SBIC_LNC004744)". The stretch from base 5064 to 5170 matches the Rfam family "Plant small nucleolar RNA R71". The record is from RNAcentral. Lineage: Eukaryota; Viridiplantae; Streptophyta; Magnoliopsida; Poales; Poaceae.
GGGCGGGCGCCUUGCCCCUGGGUCCGCUCGGCCUCCCGCUCGUUCCCGUUGCUUCUAGACUCUUCUAGAUAUUGGAUAAUUGCGGUGCACGUUAAUAUCUCUAUGUAAACCCGACGUGUGGGCCUUUCCUCCAUAUUUCCUGAUAACCCCCUGUAGAAAUAGAUAAACACCAAAACUCGUGGAAUUCUGUCAGAUAAAACCCUUAGUCUGGGUGUCGGUUGCAUUUGAAUCCUUUUCUCUAUUUACUUGUUGAUUAUAUUUGAUACUUAAGGACCGUCAACAAACUCCCCCAAGCUUACCUCUUGCUCACCCCUGAGCAAGGAUAAUCUUACUGAUGGAUUAGAAGUUUCUGUAAUGCCUUUAAAAGUUGACGGUACACAUGCUUUCAAAUGAGGUCUCAUCUCUGAGUUAGAGUAAACUAUCAAGACUUAAAACUUACUCAUUUUACCUUUUACCAUGGGACUUGUAACCGUCACUUCUGUCUUGAGCAGUUAAAAGAUAGAACGGUCUAGUCAAGCGCCUUGUCUCUUAUUCUUGAUCAGCUAUAGCUCUGGAAUUUUUGCAGAUUUUCAAAUAAAACUCAGAGAUUCCUUGUAUGACUCUCUCAGAUCUCUCUUUUGUGGUAUUUCUGGAUCCUUACUAAGGCAGUGAUGGUAUAUGCCUUCACUCAAAGUAUGUAGUAUUUAUGGUAUGAAGCAUAGUAAACUUGCCUUCUCUCUCACCCUACUUGAAUAAGGCUUUUGAUAUCUGGAGCUCAUAGGUGGGAGAUAGAGUAUACAUACUUACAAGACAUUUAUUGCAUAGUCAAACCAUGGAUCCAGAGAAAUAAGUCAAUAAGUCAAAUCAAGAUGUGCAUGUGUGGCGAAUGAAUGGUGUAUGGUGAUGAUGGUGAUAACAAUGGUGAAAGUUUAAUUCUACUUGUGCUCUUUUUGAGAGAUACAUACCUUUCUUGCUCUUUGAAAUUGAGGAGAAUGAGAUGCUCUAUAUUUUAUUUUUCUUUCCUCUCAGGUGGGUAUUGCACCCCUAAUUCUACUGUCGGACACUUGUCCAUUUUUACCUCUCGUCUCACUUUUUCUUUUCUUUCGAGGUUCCGGGCACUUGCCCCUUUUUAUUUCCUCGUAUCCUUUCUCUUUUUUUUCUUUUUUUAGAGCACUCAUCUCAUGAAAUAAUAUAGCAAGUGGUAGUGACCAAGAUAACUUGAGCAUUUAUUUUACAGGGAAAAACAGAAAUAAGAGAAUGUUUUUGGCUAUUCUCUCCCGGAUUAGGAAUAGAAUACUUUUGGGUGGUUCUGGAGAUGGAAAUGGGUGCAUAUAUGUGGAUGCGUACUUCUAGAGUAGAAGCAGCAUGUGUGAGUGAACGUGCAAGUGAAUCUUGAUUUAACCACAUGACAAGCUCCUAAGGGUCUACACAGCUUGACCACACUCAAUGCUCAUAAACAGUAAAAAGUAAAUGUGUGGCUCAAAGUCUAGGAAGCAUGUAUAUAUGGCUGUGGUAGGAAUUUAAACUCUCAUCAUACAGGACCUCAUCAUGUGAUAUUUUAAAAUUUUUCAAAGAUAAAAUUCUCUAGAAUUCUAGCAUCUCUAGGAAUAGAUAAACAGCAGCUCAACCUUCUCAUAUCAUAUCGUUAACAACUUAGACUUCAGAUCAAGUUCUCUUCCCACAAGUUCAGGUUUAGAGCUAGCUUUAAAUUAUAACAGUUAUGUCUAAACUUGAAAGAAAACUUCAAAUUCGAAAAUUUAGGCAGAGCAACUAUUCAUCAUAUCCAUGCUAGAGUUUUAUUAAGACUCAGUUUAGCAUAGCCACUUUAUUUAUUUAUUAAGCACACUAAGCAAAAGAUAUAUAUAUAUAUAAGCACAAAAUCUUUAUUUGGUUUUUUCAUGAUUAUGUAUAUUUUUAUUUUAGUAUAGUAUAAGUAUAAAUGUAGAUAGAAAUACUUAGCGGGAUAAAUGGGGGUGCUCUCUCCCCAAGCUGGAUUUUGACGUAAUUUCUUCUGAUGUAGCUAGCAGGUGGUGGAGGUGUAUUUGAAUGUCGGUAGCACCCUGACAGCGAUUAGAAUGUCCUCCGUCUACUAGUCUUCUUGAUCCUUGAAUUAUAUGGAGCUCAAAUUGACAACAAAGCUUUGUGGAACUGAUUAAGUGUUAGCAUAAAUAUCUUAGCCUUUAUCAUGUUGAGCCUCCUUAAUAAUUGCUACUUCCUUUGGUAGGAUCACAAUUUUAUUUUUUUAUUUUUAUAGAGCAGAACAAUAUUUUUAUUAUUUUUUUAUGCCACCACAGUGAAUGUACUUAUGGGUUUUAUGCCACUUGUAUACUCACAUGGGGCUUACUGGUUUUAACAUUUUUAUUUUUCUUUUUAAGAUGAUAUGAGCCUGAUUAAGUAAGCAAACUAUUUAAAUAAUUGAAAGGAAAAGGAUAACUACCAAAUUUACCUUUUGGCAAUGCGUUUGGUGUUUUUAAGUCCUCCGAACGGGACUCCCUGUUUUCUCAGUCGUCCCGUGAUUCGCUGGAUGGCGUAGUCGGUGGUUCCGGCGGCGCCUCCUCUUCGUGUAUAACUAUUUUCUCUCUCCACACCUCACUCGGUGCCACGGUCUCCUUAGGAUAGUUCUAUUCAAGCUAUAUGUCUUCAGACCUUACUACUUCUCCUUCGUAGUCUGCCCAUCCGUCCUUGAUGAUUUGCCUCCUCUGGUUGCGGUUGCGUCGUCUUCUUCUUGUCCUGACCUGCUUAGAGUCUUCAACUAUAUAGUUAGGGUCAGUAAAAUAGCGGCGUACCUUCUCAGAGGGUAAGUGCAUGUGGACUUCUCCGGUUCCAAUGUAGAUGAUUGCUUUAACAGUGCUGAGGAAAGGUCUCCCAAGGAUGAUGGGUGGAUCGUACUCGUCUUCUCCCAUGUCAAUAACCUGAAAGUCUGUAUGGACAAAAUGAUCCUCUAUUUUGACAGGGACAUCAGUUACUAUACCUUCAACCUUUCAGAAUGUCUGAUCUGCCAUCUGGAGCUGAAUGUAUGUCGGUUUUAGGGGCAUGGUUACGAACAGGAGCCGAUAGGUGACUGCGGCCAUUAUGUUGACACCUGACCCGGUGUCGCAAAGUGUCUUGUAGAAGUUGAAUCCAUUAAUGGAGCACUGGAUGCUUGGCAUACCUGGGUCGUCCUUCUUUGUCAAGAACGGUGACUUGAGUUGACAAUCUUGACCUCCAUGAACUGCAGUGACCAUCUUAGCUGACUCGGUCCACACUUGCUUGUUCCUAUUCCUCCUGUUGGUCCUCUUCCUUGGUUCAUGUCGGGAUUGCUCUGGGAUUUGUGUAAUCUUGUUCUUGAAGGAAAACGUCUCCUUCCUCCCUUUGAUGUAGAAACUGAUCUUGGUAGCACUAGCGUAGAUGACAGCUCCCGAGGUGUUCAGAAAUGGCCUCCCUAGGAAGACGGGUGCCCUCUCAUCAUUACGGUCUCUAUUAAGCCUGGGCAUUCGGGUUACCCGAUUUUUUCGGGUCGGGUAAUUCGGGUAAUUCAAAAUUUGGGUAAUGAAAAUUGUUACCCGUUAUUAGUCCCGAAAAAAUACUACCCGCAAUUUCGGGUACCCGAUAAUUCGGGUUCGGGUUCGGGUAUUCCCGAUUUACCCAAAAUUUCAAAAAACAACACGCUAUACAAAAUUUCAAUAGCAAUUUAUAUAUAAUUUCAGCAGCAAUUUGUAUAGAAUUUCAAUAGCAUUUUGUAGAGAAUAAUAUAUUAUUAUCACUUGUUCAAACAAAGAGAAUUAUGUUCUAAUAAUUUGAUAAGUUCCAAUAUUUAACUAACAACACAUGAUAAAUACAAAGAAUAGACAAAUAUUUGGGUAAUUCGGGUACCGGGGGAUAUUACCCGAAUUACCCAAACUAAUUUCGCAUAAUCAAAAUCGCUAUCCGAAUUUAGGAUCGGGUAGCUCGGGUUUGGGUAAUUCCGGUCCGGAUCCGGGUAAUUCGGGUACGGGUAAUGGGUAUCAGGUAAUUUGCCCAGGCUUAGUCUCUAUCACCAUGAAGUCUGUUGGGGCGUACAAGGUACCAACUCGGACGUAGAGGUUCUUCAAUAUUCCCUUUGGGAAACUUAGCGUCCGAUCUGCAAGCUGCAAACACAUGGGUUUUUAUAGUAAAGGAUAUUUAAAAAAAAUCAUAGAAUACCCUGGGCAUAAUGUUGACACUAGAGCCAAAGUCGCAGAGUGCUUCUGGGAAGUCCACCAUGCCGAUGGAGAUCGGGAUGACGGGGUAUCCUGGAUCGCCUCUCUUGACCGGCAGAAGGUUAGUAGUAACUUCCACAACGGGGUUACUCCAGUAGUUACCUGUAUCAAGCAUGUCUACAAGAUUUGCAGAUUCUAAUCAUUCCGGUUGUGAUGGUAUACCGUGGUUAGUAACAGGAACGGCAACAGCUAUUUGAUUUAACUAAGAUUCAAUCAUUUUAUUAAAGCUAAUUAGAUUCUUGAUGGCAGUAGAGAAAUUAUCCAUUCUAUUAUUUAUAUUUUCUAACAUUUUAUCAUUAGAUACCAAUUUCUUAGAUAGGUUAUCCAUUAGCUUUCCUUGAUUAGACACUAACUCUCUCAGAGGUGCAAAAUUAUUAUUAUUAUUGUAGGAAUUAUUACCUUGAUAAUUACCUGAGUAGUUAGGCCUCUGUUGAUUCCAACCUUGAUUUUGUUGAGGACGGUUGUAGUAGCUGUUGUUGUUGUUGAUGAUGUAGUUCACGUCCUCAAGCAUCUCAGGGCAGUGAUUGCCUGAGUGUCCAGUAUCUCCACUCCUCGCAAGUCAUGUGAGAGUCAUAGACGUGCAUGACUUCUUUCUUGUCUCCAGCUCUAUCAUCGAGCUUCUUCAUGAGUAGGUCUAGCUUGGCAGACAGCAUGUCUACCUCCUUGAGCUGAUGUGUACCUCCACCUCUCUUGCGUGUCUGGGUCCUUUCUUCGUUCCACCCUUGGUUGGACACCAUCUUCUCCACAAGAGCUGUGGCUUGUGAUAUGGUGAGGGAUAAGAAUGCUCCUCCAGCUGCAGCAUCCAUGGUCUCUCAGGCACUAUUGCUGAGCCCAUGAUAAAACAUCUUCAUCAGUAGCCAGCUCUCCAUUUCAUGAUGGGGAUAUUCUAGGAUGUAGUCUUGGAAGCGCUCCCAUGCUUCUGGAACGGAUUCAUCAUGUUGUUGUUGAAAACUUGUAAUUUUCUCACGGAGAGCAUUGGUCUUGCCCAUCGGAAAGAACUUAGCUAGAAAGUUCAUGGAUCAUAGUGCCCACUUAGUAUUCUUCUCCUUUGUAGCGUAGAACCACUGCUUCGCACUCCCCAACAGUGAGAAUGGGAAAAGGCGAAGUAGUAUAGCAUCUCUGGGGACUCCUGACAUGGUAAAUGUGCUGCAAAUCUCUAGGAAGUGUUGGAGAUGAGCACUAGCGUCUUCGUGUGCCUUCCCACAGAACUGGUUGGAUUACACCUUGUUGAUGAGCCUAGGCUUGAGCUCAAAGUUGCCGUCGAUCUCUGCAGCAGGUCCAGUGCAGAUGUUGUCCGUAGUGGGAGCUGAGAACUCAUGGAUCGAUUUAUUCGCCAUAACUUCGAACUCUGAAGACAAGUUCUGGGUGAAACUUCGGUGAUCUUGUUGAUUGGAUGAAGCUUCGUGCUGAAGUGUUGACGAUCUCUUCUUGAACUUGGCUCUUGUUUUUCUGAAUAAUGCUUCGGGAUUGUCAACAAAAUUUCCUGGAUGAUGUCUUCUAUUCAUACAUUACCCUACAUAAAAUAAUCAAAAUAGAAAAAUAGGGGUAAAACUGUAUGAGAGAAUUGAUAAUCUCGAUCAUAUUAGUGAUGCGAAUGAUGUCUCGAAAUUCCAUAUUCAUUCCUUAUUGGUAAUCAACCUUCCGCAGCAACGGCGCCAAAAAUGCUUGUUGGGCAUUCUUAAUGUCAUUACAAAAAGUAGACUUAGUUUUCUAAUUCUGAUAACGGCGCCAAAAAUGCCGAACCUAUCCCUUGUGCCACUUGAGCCAAGUUGUCAUCCCCAGCAUGACAUGAGAGACGUGGUAUUGAAAUAUGCAAUUGCUCUUGUGAAUGAAUAAUAAAUGAGAUCUGCAAGCGCACAGAUUAAUAUCGAUGUAGUAUUUUAACCGGGAAGUAUUCCAAGGUAUCGUUAUUUAUAUUUUUACCACUGGGAAGGGAUUGCUAAUCAUCAAUGUUGAUUAUAGAAUGGAAUAUGGAAUUGAGUAUCUAUCAUCGCAUGUAUAAUAGAGAGCAUUUAUCUAUCUCUUUCAUAUAGGGAUAAAUGUCACAUAAAAGAUAGAUAAAGUAUGAAUGGUGAUAAAGAUAAUUAAUCUGAUCAGCAUAACUAGCUACAUAUAAUAAUGAUAAGCACCUCAAUAGAUAUUCUACCAAGUCAUUAGCAUGGAAUUAGGAUGAACUACAAGAAUAUUUCCUAAGUUAUUCUUAACUAUAAAGUCUAGCAAGUUGAUAUUUGGGAACGCAAUAAGGAAUUGAUCCGCAAGAGCACGGAUAUCGGUGAGCACUUCACCCGGGAGGUUAUCCAGAGUAUCGUAUUUAUAUUUUUACCACUAGGAGAAAGAGUGCAUCUGACUAACCCGGUCUAUUACUACUAACCCUUUAGGCAACAAAGAAUGUUUCUCGAUGUGAGUAAUAAAUAGAGAAGACUACAACCGUAAUCUCCUUCUAACCUUGGUAAGGAUGAUCUAUUGUUCUAUUGGGGAAGCUAACGGAAUCUAGACACCACAGAGGAUGUUCGACCCGCAUCUAUAAACCCUAUCCUUUCUGCCAACGAGAUAUGGUCUUCAAAGGUAACUCGAAAAUGUCACGUUCCUCGCUACUACCACGGUCCAGCUAGUCAGGGAAUAUCUAUGAGUACCCUAGCCUAAACACCACGUUUACGCUAGCAAUGAUUACUCUAAACUCUACGCAAAGAGAUUAAAGUAAACUCAUAAACCAAAAGAACAAUAAAACAAGAACUUACUAGAAUUUAGAAGUCGAAAUACUGAAGAAUCCUAGGAGCAAGCUUCGGGUUAGGAGAACUUGAUCCCGUAGGUACAAGCUCGGAGUAGACACCGACAGGCCGAGCUUCCUCCGUUCUACACCUCCACUCUAUCUCUCUCAAUCUAGUAGAAACUAGAAGAUCUAUUUCUACUCGCAUUGGAUGCUAAGCCUAAAAAGAAACUUUAUUUAGAGGAGAGGUUUUCCUUCGAGGGCUCCCCUCAACUCUAUGAUAAACUUGUCUCCUCCAGGGGCCAGGGGGUGUGGUUUUAUAGUCCCCUCAAGUGAACGUGAGCCAUUGGAUCAAACCGACAUUGAUUGGACGGUUAUCCUUGAUCCUUUAGGUCGGUGGAGUGUCGUGUGCGAAUAGAGUCCUGAUCCAACUCCAGGAGGGGGUGGGCGCCUAGGUCAACUGGGCGGGCGCCCAGUGCCUGGCCCCGUUCGGCCUCUGCUUCUUCCUGUGGCUUCUGGAGUCUUCUAGAUGGUAGAAAAUUGCGCGAUGCGUUGAUAUCUCUAUGUAAUCCCGACAUGUGGGCCUUUCUUCAUUAUUUCCUGAUAACCCCCUUCAGAAACAGAUAAACAACAAAACUCGUGGAAUUCUGUCAGAUCAAACCUUAAUUCUUGGUGUUGUUUGUAUAUUGGUCCUUUCUCUUGUUUAUUUGAUAAUUAAAAUUAAUACUUAAGAACCGUCAACAAAUACCCCCAUUCUUAGGCUUUUACUCGUCCUCGAGAAAAGGAUGGUUAAGAACAAUAUCUGGGGUAAAACAUUUUUAAAAUAUUCUCUUCAUAACUGUAGGGUGUUAAAAUCCACUGUGUACUAUAAUCAGGGAAGUAUAUGGUUAAGAGUAAAGAUCCUUUCUUCUCAAUCCUGUCACUUGGAGUUUUUGUAUAUUUUUGAAAAGAAAGUUAGCAUACCUUUUAUCCUCAUAGGUUCUCUCAGAUCACUCAUUAUCUUUUAUAUAUCUCACUGAGGCUGUUUUAAUUUGCAAAAAUUCUCAAGCUUACUUACCUUGUAUUUAUUGCCUGAUCAAAACAGGAUCCGAGGAGGGGAAUGUCAUACUCUUAGAUCAAAGACUUUGGAAAUUAAAAACUUUGUCAACUCUUGCUGGCAUAUUGCUUAUUAGAGGGACCAUGGGCUAUCAUUUUUUUUCUUUUUUUUAAGUGGAUACCGAGGUACCCCUAAUUCUGCUGCCGGACACUUAUCCAUUUUUUUUCUGUGAGGUUGUCGAGCACUUGCUCCUUUUUAUUUCCUCGAAAUAUCUCUAUUUUUGCAUAGCCCAUGCCUCUAAUGCAAUAAUACUUCAGAAGAUUGAAUCUUUCUGAAUAAAUGUCUUGAUCUUAGGAGCAUGAUAAAUCUCUCAACAAGGGUCUAACUCAUUUGAAUAAACUCAAUACAUAGUAGAUAGCCUUUAUAAUCAUAAUUAAUUUUUUCUAGUUUUAGUAGGCAUAUAAAACACUGAGGAUGGUAGCUAGAAUUUUUGAAGAUUUUGAAAUAAAUUCUCCAAGUAACAAUGAUAUCAAGAAUAAGAAACUCAUACUCUACCAUCUCAUAUUCCAUAAUGACUUAAGUAACACAAGGUUUUUAAAAUGAUUCUUUUCCAAUAAUUGCAAGUUUUAGGAAAUAUUAGAGAGUGAGAUUAAUCAUGUUUAGAAAUAUUUUAAUCUUUUUAAUUUAUCAUAUUAGAAACAAUAUUCUGCAUAAUCCAAGAUAUAUGUAUGUGUAAUAGUAAAGUGUGCAGAGUGUGUACCUGAAUCGUGGAGUGGUGUAGUCGAAGUGUGUUUGGCAUGUCGAGGGAUCUCCCCCAUACUUGUUUUCUGCUUUCUUGCACAAAAAUAAAGUAGAGACACACAAGACAUAAUAAUAAUAAUACUCUUUAUUAAUCUUGAGGCAUUUAUUACAAAAGACUAGUAGCAAACUGAUGAUAAUUGUAGCAAUUUGACAAUAAUAGUAAACCUAAACUGAAUUUAAAGAUAGAUAACUAAAAUGCAUUGCCUCAAGAUCUAAUCUAGAUAACUUAGCGGUGCUCUAACUCCUUGAUCUUCUUAUUGGCACAGGCAAGAUCAUGCCUAAGGCCUAGUAUAAUGGUGUUGUGGUUAGAGAGCUAUCUAGUGAGAGAAUUAAUUGAGGACUGGAGGUCUAAGAUAACUUUGUCUACCCUGCGAAUGUCCUCAUCAAUAUCCAUUAUAGUCUUGCGACGCUUGGGAGGUGUCUCAAAAGCAUUGAGAGCAUGCUUCGGGGCUGCCUUUGGAGGGAUGAAACGGACUUUGGCUGCUCUAACCCCUUCAAAGUAAGGCCUCUCCUGCUCCGUAGUGUAGCGAAUGCUACUGAUCUCGCCGCUCCGGUUGGUCUUGACUCCAACGACCCUCUCAUUGGGUCUAGGUGGAAGGAUCCUCGUGCCGGUUGGCACCUUGAUGGUGGUCUUCGUCUUGGAUGAUGAUCCCUUAAGGAGUAGGGGUUGUGGCGGUGCGGUGAGAACUGGUUGAGCAUGGUAGGAUUGGGCGGAGCUGCGUUGGGGUAAUGGCAUGGCUUCUAGCUGUCGCUCUGUGUUGGCCAGGACGAGAGCACGGGCGUCGGGGUCUUCCUUAGGCUCCAUGUUGAGGUUGAAGGGGACGACUUCCCAAUCAUCGUGGAACUUCUCGGCCAUUGGAGCAGCAAGGGACUAAUCAAGCUCUAAUUGAAGAAGAAGAGAAGGCUUGGUGGUUUUGUGUUUGAAAACUGAUGUCAGGGGUCUGUUUAUAUAGGGGUCAAAAAGUGCCUCUAGGGGUUUGUUCUGGUUGCUCCCGUCGAUGUGCGUACGAAACUUUCCAUCUGAGGGAUUAUUCGGAUUACCAUAAGUGCAUUUUCCAUAAUAGAGAAAAUCGGGACCGAGGGGGAACAGGAGCUGGGCGCCCGCCCUCUCUCUGGCCCCUCUGUGGGCCCACUUUCUCGAGCGUGUUUCUAGAUGCAGAACUAUUUAGGAAAAUAUAUGUAUGACCCAAAAAUGUU